GUGGAGGAGUAUGCAGAAAAGUGGCUGUGGUCUUUUCACUGAACGUUUGUGUCUGGAGCGUUCACUAGCUUCUACCUCUCUCGCUCUCUCUCUCUCUCUCUCUCUCUCUCGCUCGCUCUCUCUCUCUCUCUUGCUCUCGCUCUCAUUGUUGCUCAUGGGUGGAGGUUGGAACUGGAUUUAACUGACUCCUAAAGGAAAAGUAAAGUAAAAUAGAGGAGCAGAGCACAACGUAUGUCGUACAUGCUUUUCAAAUAUCUCGGUCCGUUGCACAGAACGGACGUCUGAAGUUGUGGAGAAGUGGAUGAACCUCCAAAUUCUGCAUGGACUUGAUUUUUUUCAUGCAAAGGGCAGGAGACUGACACACUCCAUGUAUCUUCCUGCCAAUAUGCGCCAAGUGUACUUACCAGUGAGAGAUGGGUUAGUGGAGCAGACUGACUCCUCCGCCUCAUAUCGGUCAUACUUUUCCAGCCAUCAAUAGACGGAUGACCCAGGCGGAGCGGAGGUGAUGGAGGAAUGGGCAGAGAGCAAAGCUCCCACACACACUGAAUGUCUGUCUAUCCUUCUCACUGUUUCCACAGAGGAAGGAAAGAGAGGUGAUUGAAUGAGCUGUGCUUCACAAUCCUUCUCUGUUCAUCUCUGAAUCUUCUUCUGUCCUCCUUUUGU
Long non-coding RNA from Danio aesculapii, 663 nucleotides. RefSeq lists it as uncharacterized. The transcript is spliced from 3 exons. Lineage: Eukaryota; Metazoa; Chordata; Actinopteri; Cypriniformes; Danionidae. The record is from RefSeq and is a predicted model, not a curated record.